Molecule: ribosomal RNA, 479 nt
Filed under: uncultured bacterium
Lineage: Bacteria
Description: bacterial SSU rRNA
Rfam family: Bacterial small subunit ribosomal RNA
Source: RNAcentral
GAGUGGACUCCUACGGGAGGCAGCAGUGGGGAAUAUUGCACAAUGGGGGGAACCCUGAUGCAGCCAUGCCGCGUGAAUGAAGAAGGCCUUCGGGUUGUAAAGUUCUUUCGGUGACGAGGAAGGUUGGUAUGUUAAUAGCAUAUCAAAUUGACGUUAAUCACAGAAGAAGCACCGGCUAACUCCGUGCCAGCAGCCGCGGUAAUACGGGGGGUGCGAGCGUUAAUCGGAAUAACUGGGCGUAAAGGGCACGCAGGCGGUGACUUAAGUGAGAUGUGAAAGCCCCGGGCUUAACCUGGGAAUUGCAUUUCAUACUGGGUCGCUAGAGUACUUUAGGGAGGGGUAGAAUUCCACGUGUAGCGGUGAAAUGCGUAGAGAUGUGGAGGAAUACCGAAGGCGAAGGCAGCCCCUUGGGAAUGUACUGACGCUCAUGUGCGAAAGCGUGGGGAGCAAACAGGAUUAGAUACCCUUGUAGUCCUAUC